Long non-coding RNA from Triticum aestivum (bread wheat), 536 nucleotides. RefSeq lists it as uncharacterized. The record is from RefSeq and is a predicted model, not a curated record. NCBI's taxonomy places the organism in Eukaryota, Viridiplantae, Streptophyta, Magnoliopsida, Poales, Poaceae. The transcript has 2 exons.
GGCAUCUGCACUCAAUGUUUUCAGAAAGUAUAGAUGUCAUGAGGUAGGAGAGAGAUCUUGGAGGAGUGAAUGCAUAAGAGGGGGGGUGUUUACCUGUGUUUUUUCUGCAUCUCCAGCCAGAUUUGUGUCCCAGAUCAUGGAGGAAUUGCCCUCUCUGGUGUGGACCCAUAAGUGGAUUUACAUUGUAAUUCCUACUGGAUUUACAGUGUUUUUCUUAGUGGAUAUCCAGUGUAAUUCCAAGUGGAUUUACACUGUAAUUACUACUGGAUUUACAGUGUUUUUCCUAGUGGGUUUCCACUGUAAUUCUAAGUGGAUUUACAUUGUAAUUCCUACUGGAUUUACAAUGUUUUUCUUAGUGGAUUUACACUGAAAUGCUUAGUGUAAUUAUUUAGUACAAAUUAUUUGGAUUGGAAGUGUAUUUUUAGCGGUAUUUACAGUGUAAUUUUAGUGGAUUUUACAUUGUAAUUCUUAGUGCACAUAAAGAUUUUCUAUAGUGCAUUUUUCAGUGGAUAUUACACUGAAAUUCUUUAGUUGAA